CUUCUCAGAAACAACCGGCCUUGAAGGAUACAAGUGACAAGAACGAUUCUGUUUCGAACACAGCCACAGAAAUAAAAGAUGAACAAAAAUCUGGGACAGUGCUUCCUGCUGUUGAACAGUGUUUAAACAGGAGUCUCUACAGACCGGAUGCUGUUGCACAGCCUGUGACAGAGGAUGAGUUUGCUUUGGAAUCUGAGAUUAUUUCAAAACUAUACAUCCCAAAGAGAAAGAUUAUUUCUCCACGAUCUAUAGAAGAUGUGCUUCCUCCUGUUGAAGAGGCUGUUGACAGGUGUCUCUACCUACUGGACCGUUUUGCACAGGCUGUGACAAAGGAUAAGUUUGCUUUGGAAUCUGAGAAUAUUUCAGAACCAUACUUUACAAACAGAAGGACUAUUUCUCAACAAUCUGCAGAAAAGU
Molecule: long non-coding RNA, 417 nt
Filed under: Homo sapiens (human)
Lineage: Eukaryota; Metazoa; Chordata; Mammalia; Primates; Hominidae
Description: non-protein coding lnc-GPAT2-1:1
Source: RNAcentral